This 1206-nucleotide long non-coding RNA is filed under the name Citrus maxima (pomelo). RNAcentral describes it as "long non-coding RNA (CMAX_LNC000269)". The record is from RNAcentral. Lineage: Eukaryota; Viridiplantae; Streptophyta; Magnoliopsida; Sapindales; Rutaceae.
AAAUAUUUUUCACUUUUAAUAUCAUUUUAAAAUAUUGUUUCAAAUUUUUAGAGAUUUUUAAAAAAAAAAUCAAUAUUUUAUAAUAUGGUAAUGAUUUUAUUUUAAGUCUCUAAUUUUUAAUUUAUUAAAAUCAUAUUUUUAUAUCUACUAUAAAAUAAGUAAAUGAAAAAUGGAGUGGGGAUGAGAAAAUCAUUCUCUACGUGGGGAUUUCCCAUCCCCAAUCCACUAAAUUUAUUAGAAAAUAGGGUAGAGAAUGGAGGAAAAUUUUUUUAAUGAGGUAGGGAAUGGGGUAGGCAUCCCCACCCCCACCCCGCCCCAUUGCCAUCCCUAGUCAUUACAGCUCUCUUGGCCGCUGCCAACGGCGUUGGAACCUACCAGCCACCGCGCAGCAGCCAACUUUAACCAUCAAGCCUCAUCCUUUUCCUCACACGACACCAUACACAACACUCUCAUGAUCUCGAUAAAGAUAGACACCCUCUUCGCACCCAUAUUACAUAAAAUCAAUCAGUUGCCCCUCAUUUAACACCAUCACAGCCCACUCGCUCUCAUAAUAAGCCACCGGUUCAAGCUUCCUUUCGGCCUUGGCUUUUUCUCUUUAUGCUUUUUUGGCAAAAUUAAUAUGCAUUAUAAGCUUCAGCAAGUUGAAACCCAAUAAAACAAAAGUGAAAAGGAUCAGAUCCGUGGCUUGAUCAGAGGAGGCGGGUGCUUUCAUGAUGGGGAUGAGGAAGAUUAGAGGAUGGCGGAAGCCUCUGUAAGGCUUAGAUUUUUAGGAUUGUUUUUUUUUUCCCCUAACAUUUUGGUUUUAUAUUUAUAAUGAAUAAUUAAAAGUUACUAAUUCAAAAAACUGUAUUCUGGGUCUAGGUUCUAGAAAUCCGGUUGGUUCAAAUGUACUCGGAACCAAACCCGGAUAUAUAUAGGUUAAAAAAAAACAUAUCUUAAGCGGAUAUUUUAUACAUCUGCCCACAGGUUGAACCCGACCUAAAUCAUCCGAGUUUGUCUGGGUUCGAUCCAGGUCCGAUUUGUCUGCCAUCCGUAAUGGGAGUUCAAGAUUUAGUGUGAGAUCAGUUCUUAUCACGUCUAAUCUUUUCUAUUUAUUUGUAAGAUUCAAUCCAGUCCGUACCCUGUAUUAAAGUGCUUUAUAACUGUUCUCCUCAGUUAGACUUUUAUCAUAUGAUUUUUAAUGAAUUACAUGAUGUUUGACACUUA